UUAUAUUUACCAGUUUUUAAUGUAUAGUACGUGUCACCUACAACCAUAAAUACGCGGAUGAACGCGAUGCAUGGUCAAAGUCUCAAAGAUACAAUUCUCUGCAUUGGUUCUGAAGUUUUCUUGCUCCGGCUUUGACCCUCUGCAGAAGAAGAAAGGAUCGUUUCAACACUCUAGUUUCCUGUCUGGUGGAGCAAUAACGUCUGCAGGAAGAUUGGUGGUCAAAGACGGAAUUCUGAAGGUAUGUUCAUAUGAAGAACAAAAAUCUUGAUUUACAACAACUCAAUAGACAAUGCCAAUUUCAGAUUAGCAAAAGUUAUCAAAUAGUACUACUCCAGUAUAACUGAUGGUGUCCUGUUUCUUCAGGCAAUAUGGCCGUACAGUGGUCACUACCUUCCAACGGAAGAGAACUUCAGAGAGUUCAUUCGCUACCUUCAGGAGAACGGCGUCGACCUCACCGAUGUCAAGGUAAAUGAGAGAACUUUUCACAUUUGCAUGUCAGUAGCAAGAGAGUACUACUAUCACUACCACUACAAAAGAUCAUCAGAACAGUAAUUAAUGACAUGCGAAUUAAUUCUGUAAUUUUUGUUUCAGACAUCUCCGGUAGACAGAGAUGACGAGUACCCCUUGCUGAGCAAACCUGUCACCCAGCCUGAACAAGCCGAGAAC
This 666-nucleotide long non-coding RNA is filed under the name Brachypodium distachyon (stiff brome). RNAcentral describes it as "long non-coding RNA (BDIS_LNC002283)". The record is from RNAcentral. Lineage: Eukaryota; Viridiplantae; Streptophyta; Magnoliopsida; Poales; Poaceae.